Molecule: ribosomal RNA, 496 nt
Filed under: uncultured bacterium
Lineage: Bacteria
Description: partial 16S ribosomal RNA
Rfam family: Bacterial small subunit ribosomal RNA
Source: RNAcentral
GGACGAACGCUGGCGGCGUGCCUACUACAUGCAAGUCGAACGCUGAAGGAGGAGCUUGCUUCUCUGGAUGAGUUGCGAACGGGUGAGUAACGCGUAGGUAACCUGCCUGGUAGCGGGGGAUAACUAUUGGAAACGAUAGCUAAUACCGCAUAAUAGUAGAUGUUGCAUGACAUUUGCUUAAAAGGUGCAAUUGCAUCACUACCAGAUGGACCUGCGUUGUAUUAGCUAGUUGGUGGGGUAACGGCUCACCAAGGCGACGAUACAUAGCCGACCUGAGAGGGUGAUCGGCCACACUGGGACUGAGACACGGCCCAGACUCCUACGGGAGGCAGCAGUAGGGAAUCUUCGGCAAUGGACGGAAGUCUGACCGAGCAACGCCGCGUGAGUGAAGAAGGUUUUCGGAUCGUAAAGCUCUGUUGUAAGAGAAGAACGAGUGUGAGAGUGGAAAGUUCACACUGUGACGGUAUCUUACCAGAAAGGGACGGCUAACUACGUG